GAUGAACGCUGGCGGCGUGCUUAACACAUGCAAGUCGAACGAUGAACCUGGUGCUUGCACUGGGGGAUUAGUGGCGAACGGGUGAGUAACACGUGAGCAACCUGCCCCUGACUCUGGGAUAAGCGCUGGAAACGGCGUCUAAUACUGGAUAUGUGACGUGACCGCAUGGUCUGCGUUUGGAAAGAUUUUUCGGUUGGGGAUGGGCUCGCGGCCUAUCAGCUUGUUGGUGAGGUAAUGGCUCACCAAGGCGUCGACGGGUAGCCGGCCUGAGAGGGUGACCGGCCACACUGGGACUGAGACACGGCCCAGACUCCUACGGGAGGCAGCAGUGGGGAAUAUUGCACAAUGGGCGGAAGCCUGAUGCAGCAACGCCGCGUGAGGGAUGACGGCCUUCGGGUUGUAAACCUCUUUUAGCAGGGAAGAAGCGAGAGUGACGGUACCUGCAGAAAAAGCGCCGGCUAACUACGUG
Molecule: ribosomal RNA, 469 nt
Filed under: uncultured organism
Description: bacterial SSU rRNA
Rfam family: Bacterial small subunit ribosomal RNA
Source: RNAcentral